GCUGGCUUUCGCAGGCGGCGGUGCUGCGCUGGCCGCUGGUGGUGGCCGCCCUGGUGGCGCUGGGCUAUCUGGCGUUCCAGGGGCCGCGCCUGUG
RNAcentral lists this transfer RNA (94 nucleotides) under Hydrogenophaga electricum. RNAcentral's name for it is "tRNA-Thr". Lineage: Bacteria; Pseudomonadati; Pseudomonadota; Betaproteobacteria; Burkholderiales; Comamonadaceae. The record is from RNAcentral.